AUUGAACGCUGGCGGCAUGCUUUACACAUGCAAGUCGAACGGGCUUGGGGGCUUGCUCCCAAGUUAGUGGCGAACGGGUGAGUAAUACAUCGGAACGUACCGUGUAGUGGGGGAUAACGUAGCGAAAGUUACGCUAAUACCGCAUACAAUCUACGGAUGAAAGCAGGGGACCUUCGGGCCUUGUGCUAUACGAGCGGCCGAUGUCUGAUUAGCUAGUUGGUGAGGUAAAGGCUCACCAAGGCGACGAUCAGUAGCGGGUCUGAGAGGAUGAUCCGCCACACUGGGACUGAGACACGGCCCAGACUCCUACGGGAGGCAGCAGUGGGGAAUUUUGGACAAUGGGCGAAAGCCUGAUCCAGCCAUGCCGCGUGUCUGAAGAAGGCU
This 384-nucleotide ribosomal RNA is filed under the name uncultured bacterium. RNAcentral's name for it is "bacterial SSU rRNA". It matches the Rfam family "Bacterial small subunit ribosomal RNA", at positions 30 to 416 of the family's 1533-position model. The record is from RNAcentral.